GCUAUACAUGCAAGUCGAGCGGACCGACGGGAGCUUGCUCCCUUAGGUCAGCGGCGGACGGGUGAGUAACACGUGGGUAACCUGCCUGUAAGACUGGGAUAACUCCGGGAAACCGGGGCUAAUACCGGAUGCUUGAUUGAACCGCAUGGUUCAAUCAUAAAAGGUGGCUUUUAGCUACCACUUGCAGAUGGACCCGCGGCGCAUUAGCUAGUUGGUGAGGUAACGGCUCACCAAGGCGACGAUGCGUAGCCGACCUGAGAGGGUGAUCGGCCACACUGGGACUGAGACACGGCCCAGACUCCUACGGGAGGCAGCAGUAGGGAAUCUUCCGCAAUGGACGAAAGUCUGACGGAGCAACGCCGCGUGAGUGAUGAAGGUUUUCGGAUCGUAAAACUCUGUUGUUAGGGAAGAACAAGUACCGUUCGAAUAGGGCGGCACCUUGACGGUACCUAACCAGAAAGCCACGGCUAACUACGUGCCAGCAGCCGCGGUAAUACGUAGGUGGCAAGCGUUGUCCGGAAUUAUUGGGCGUAAAGCGCGCGCAGGCGGUUUCUUAAGUCUGAUGUGAAAGCCCCCGGCUCAACCGGGGAGGGUCAUUGGAAACUGGGGAACUUGAGUGCAGAAGAGGAGAGUGGAAUUCCACGUGUAGCGGUGAAAUGCGUAGAGAUGUGGAGGAACACCAGUGGCGAAGGCGACUCUCUGGUCUGUAACUGACGCUGAGGCGCGAAAGCGUG
RNAcentral lists this ribosomal RNA (734 nucleotides) under Bacillus subtilis. Its description in RNAcentral is "bacterial SSU rRNA". It matches the Rfam family "Bacterial small subunit ribosomal RNA", at positions 48 to 763 of the family's 1533-position model. Lineage: Bacteria; Bacillati; Bacillota; Bacilli; Caryophanales; Bacillaceae. The record is from RNAcentral.